RNAcentral lists this ribosomal RNA (497 nucleotides) under uncultured bacterium. RNAcentral's name for it is "partial 16S ribosomal RNA". It matches the Rfam family "Bacterial small subunit ribosomal RNA", at positions 28 to 507 of the family's 1533-position model. The record is from RNAcentral.
GAUGAACGCUGGCGGCGUGCCUAAUACAUGCAAGUCGAGCGAACAGACGAGGAGCUUGCUCCUCUGACGUUAGCGGCGGACGGGUGAGUAACACGUGGAUAACCUACCUAUAAGACUGGGAUAACUUCGGGAAACCGGAGCUAAUACCGGAUAAUAUAUUGAACCGCAUGGUUCAAUAGUGAAAGACGGUUUUGCUGUCACUUAUAGAUGGAUCCGCGCCGCAUUAGCUAGUUGGUAAGGUAACGGCUUACCAAGGCAACGAUGCGUAGCCGACCUGAGAGGGUGAUCGGCCACACUGGAACUGUGACCCGGUCCAGACUCCUACGGGAGGCAGCAGUAGGGAAUCUUCCGCAAUGGGCGAAAGCCUGACGGAGCAACGCCGCGUGAGUGAUGAAGGUCUUCGGAUCGUAAAACUCUGUUAUUAGGGAAGAACAAAUGUGUAAGUAACUAUGCACGUCUUGACGGUACCUAAUCAGAAAGCCACGGCUAACUACGUG